This 208-nucleotide unclassified non-coding RNA is filed under the name Hevea brasiliensis (rubber tree). The record is from RNAcentral. Lineage: Eukaryota; Viridiplantae; Streptophyta; Magnoliopsida; Malpighiales; Euphorbiaceae.
GAGGGAGUCUCGUACACAAGGAUAUGAGCUAGAGCCACAUCCUUCACGUGUACGUAUGCCUGAACGGAAUUGGCAUACGUCUUAGCUGAUCCAGUCAAGUACUUCAGUAUAUGAAUUAUGCUCGCAUUAAUGGUGGAUUGCAACAAUGGCCCUAGCACCAGCACUGGAUUCACCACCACCAAAUCCACCCCCUUCUCCUUCGCAACCU